CGAAAGCCUGACGGAGCAAUACCGCGUGAGGGAAAUGACGGCCUUUGGGUUGUAAACCUCUUUUAUCAAGGAGGAAGUUCUGACGUGUACUUGAUGAAUAAGCAUCGGCUAACUCCGUGCCAGCAGCCGCGGUAAGACGGAGGAUGCAAGUGUUAUCCGGAAUCACUGGGCGUAAAGCGUCUGUAGGUGGUUUAAAAAGUCUACUGUUAAAGCUUGAAGCUUAACUUCAAAAAUGCCGUAGAAACUUUUAAACUUGAGUGUGGUAGGGGUAGAGGGAAUUUCCAGUGGAGCGGUGAAAUGCGUAGAUCUUGGAAAGACCACCAAUGGCGAAGGCACUCUACUGGGCCAUUACUGACACUAAGAGACGAAAGCUAGGGGAGCA
This 382-nucleotide ribosomal RNA is filed under the name uncultured cyanobacterium. RNAcentral's name for it is "bacterial SSU rRNA". It matches the Rfam family "Bacterial small subunit ribosomal RNA", at positions 376 to 770 of the family's 1533-position model. The record is from RNAcentral. Lineage: Bacteria; Bacillati; Cyanobacteriota.